CCCACAAAGAAACUCAACACAACUACAAAGAGACACAAAAUGACCACAAAGAGGUACAGAACAGCAACAGAGACUCAACACAACUAAAAAAAGAGACACAAAAUGACUACAAAGAGACAAAAAAACAUGAAGUUACACCAGACCACAGAAAACACAAAACAAUUACAAAUAUGCAUAAAGAGCAACAAAGACACACAAAAUAAUCAUAAAAAGUUACAAAACGACCACAAAGAGACACAAAACAACCACAGAGAAACAAAACCACAAAGAGACGCAAAACAGCCACAAAAAGACUCAAAACAACCACAAAGAGACGCAAAAUGGCCACAAAAAGACUCAAAACAACCACAAAGAGACGCAAAACAGCCACAAAAAGACUCAAAACAACCACAAAGAGACGCAAAACAGCCACAAAAAGACUCAAAACAACCACAAAGAGACGCAAAACAGCCACAAAAAGACUCAAAACAACCACAAAGAGACGCAAAACAACCACAAAGAGACGCAAAACAGCCACAAAAAGACUCAAAACAACUAGACACAAAACAACUAGAGAGACACCAAACGGCCACGAGAUGUAAAACAGCCACAAAGAGGUGUGUGUGUUUCAGUAACCAGGUGUGUUUGUUUCAGUGACCAGGUGUGUUUCAGUAACCAGGUGUGUUUCAGUAACCAGGUGUGUUUCAGUAACCAGGUGUGUUUGUUUCAGUGACCAGGUGUGUUUGUUUCAGUGACCAGGUGUGUUUGUUUCAGUGACCAGGUGUGUGUUUUUCAGUGACCAGGUGUGUUUGUUUCAGUGACCAGGUGUGUUUGUUUCAGUGACCAGGUGUGUUUGUUUCAGUGACCAGGUGUGUUUCAGUGACCAGGUGUGUUUGUUUCAGUGACCAGGUGUGUUUCAGUGACCAGGUGUGUUUGUUUCAGUGACCAGGUGUGUUUGUUUCAGUGACCAGGUGUGUUUCAGUGACCAGGUGUGUUUCAGUGACCAGGUGUGUUUGUUUCAGUGACCAGGUGUGUUUGUUUCAGUGACCAGGUGUGUUUCAGUAACCAGGUGUGUUUCAGUAACCAGGUGUGUUUGUUUCAGUGAUCAGGUGUGUUUCAGUGACCAGGUGUGUUUCAGUGACCAGGUGUGUUUCAGUAACCAGGUGUGUUUGUUUCAGUGAUCAGGUGUGUUUCAGUGACCAGGUGUGUUUCAGUGACCAGGUGUGUUUCAGUAACCAGGUGUGUUUGUUUCAGUGAUCAGGUGUGUUUCAGUAACCAGGUGUGUUUGUUUCAGUGAUCAGGUGUGUUUCAGUAACCAGGUGUGUUUCAGUGACCAGGUGUGUUUGUUUCAGUAACCAGGUGUGUUUCAGUAACCAGGUGUGUUUCAGUAACCAGGUGUGUUUCAGUAACCAGGUGUGUUUGUUUCAGUAACCAGGUGUGUUUCAGUGACCAGGUGUGUUUUAGUGACCAGGUGUGUUCCGAGGCGCCUGCAUAACGGACGUUCAGAGUUUCUGGACUCAGAAGUGAUGAUGUAACGUCCUGAAAGCUGCCUCUGAUCUGCGUGUGAGAUCAUCUUUUCUUCUUCUUCAGAUCAAAGAGUUGUCGCUAUCAGCUGAUCACCUCCAGGCUUCGGCUCCGUUUCAUGUUGAGACGUUCAUCAGAGAUAAUUACAGCUGCUCCAGAACACAAUUAACCUGACGGGAGUCUGCCUGCUCAACACAAACUGUAGGAAAAUAGAUCCAAACCGGUCUGCUGUCGUCUCGUUAAAACGAGUUGAUCUGCUGUAAAUAAAGUAAAAUAUUUCCUCUUUAAGGCGACUCAUCAUAUAAAUAAAUCCUGUAAAUAAUAAAACAGACGCCUGAGGGACUAAAGUCAGACAGAAAACACAAAUUUAAUGAUGCACGUGAUUUAUUAAAUGAAUCAUAAAUAGAUUUAUUGGAUUCUUCGUUCAGAUUCAAUCCUAUUUCUGAUAUUAAUUAUUCUUUUAUUUUAUCUUAAAAAGAUCAUUAUUAGACAUUAAAACCUGUUGUAAUGUUUUUUUCAUCUUUAAUUUCCAAAUAUUACAAAAAAUAAUAUUUGGACAUGUUUAUAGUCAUUUUGAAAACAUUUUUUGGUCAUUUUGAAAAUGUCUCUAGUAAUUUUCAACAUGUUUUCUGUCGUGUGCAAAAAAAACCCUGUCAUUUUGACAAUGUUUUUUAGUAAUUUCAGACCCAUGUUAGUCAUUUUUGGCAUGUUGUUUGACAUUUUGCCAUAUUUCCAGUCAUUUUUUGAUAUGUUUGUAGUCAUUUUGGAUAUGCUUAUAGUCAUUUUGAACUUGUUUAAAGUCAUUUUGAACUUGUUUAAAGUCAUUUUGGACAUAUUUAUAGUCAUUUUGGACAUAUUUAUAGUCAUUUUGGAUGUGUUUAUAGUCAUUUUGGACAUUUUUAUGACAUUUUGGACGUUGUUUAUGAUAAUUUUGGACAUGUUUAUAGUCAUUUUGGACGUGUUUAUAGUCAUUUUGGACAUGUUUAUAGUCAUUUUGGACGUGUUUAUAGUCAUUUUGGACAUGUGGUCAUCAUAUUUGGCAUGUUAUUUGUCAUUUUGGACUUUUUUUGUCAUUUUGCCAUAUUUCCAGUCAUGUUGGAUGUGUUUAUAGUCAUUUUGGACGUGUUUAUAGUCAUUUUGGACGUGUUUAUAGUCAUUUUGGACAUGUGGUCAUCAUAUUUGGCAUGUUAUUUGUCAUUUUGGACAUUUUUUUUGUCAUUUUGCCAUAUUUCCAGUCAUGUUGGACAUGUUUAUAGUCAUUUUAAACAUAUUUUUUG
Long non-coding RNA from Acanthochromis polyacanthus (spiny chromis), 2780 nucleotides. RefSeq lists it as uncharacterized. The transcript is spliced from 5 exons. NCBI's taxonomy places the organism in Eukaryota, Metazoa, Chordata, Actinopteri, Pomacentridae. The record is from RefSeq and is a predicted model, not a curated record.